RNAcentral lists this long non-coding RNA (2320 nucleotides) under Eucalyptus grandis. RNAcentral describes it as "long non-coding RNA (EGRA_LNC006009)". The record is from RNAcentral. Lineage: Eukaryota; Viridiplantae; Streptophyta; Magnoliopsida; Myrtales; Myrtaceae.
AAACAAGCAUUCUUUUAUAUUCACAUAAUGUCAAGUACAAGGUCUAUGACCAAAAGGCCACAAAAACUAACUUUCCAAAAAGAGACGGUCCUAGCUGACGUACACUUCACAUCACCUCCUCUCGGCUCUCGGUCCUCCACUCGACGACCCUGAAAAUAUUGUCCCACAACAGGGUGAGAUAUAAUCUCAGCGAGUCUAAACUCUAAACCCCAAUUAGGAGGGUAAUACGCCACAGGCAUCCUAACCACACAAUCACGCAUUAAGCAUAGAGGACUUACCUCGCCUCAGUUCUACCCUGCAAGUCAGUAUAGUUCAUAUCACAGACAGCCAUACACAUAUGAGUAAUAACUAAGCUCUAACAACUGGCACGUCACACUAAAUUCUCAAAUCAGUACAGGAGUCCUAAUUAUAAGGCCAAAUCGUUAUGACACGUCCCAUACCAUGUCACACAAUUUUGUCCCAUAAUCCGACACAUCACUUCCACUCAACAAGCGUUCUAAUUGGCAAUUACUCCCACUCUAGGGCACGACCUACUCAAAGUUCGGCGGUCUACUGGCGUAAUCAGGUAUCGUCUUACCCCAUUGAGCACGGUAAUGUCUCUCAGAUGACUUUCCCGAAAGAGUAUAGGGCCAAAAUCUACUGCGACCCAAAUCCCACUAAGUGGGUAUCUAAUAUAGGGUAACGUCCAUCUGAUACAGUUCGGGGAUGGGUUCUCUUAAUCGGCACACGACCAUUCAAUCUCGGCCUAGGACACUGUGCAUUGCACUCAAACGCCUCAAUUAAAAUAGUGAUUCUGGCAUAUUUUCUUCGUAUUAAAAACACCCAGUAAAAAUAGUCGUGUGUGGGUAUACAGUUAGAUUGGACCUGGAAAAUUCAUAAUAUUCUUUUCACAAUCACACUGGUUCAUAUAGUAUAUUUUCAGUAUUUAAAACCCAACACUUGGGAUUUUUUGGAUAAAUAUCAAAAUUCACAAAUUUUAGAAUAAUUGACCAAAUUUCCAAUCAGCACUCAAUUUUCAUAAUUUAACACUCAAUUGCAGAAAUUAACCACACCAUUAAAAUCAACACGAAAUUCUAGUCACCGACUAUCCCGACCUAAUUUCCGGAAAAAUAAUUAAUUUCGGAAAUUAAUUAAAUAAAUCAAUUUAAUUUCUAAAAAUAGUAACCUAGGCCAAAAUUAUUAAAUUAAAUACCAAUAUGGACUCAGAAAAUUCCUGAACCCUUCUAAACAAAUAGUGCAAUUUAUCUAGGCCUUAUCUAAACCAUGCUAACCACCUAACAUGCUCAAUUAAAUAAUUAAAUUUCUAAUUUAAUCUAACUAACCACCUAAUUCCUAAUUAAAUAAAUCUAAACACCCCUUAAAUAUCAUUAGCCUACUAAGAAAAUUUUAGAGUAUAAACUCACCAGUUAAUUGCGGAAACUGGUUCACCGUGACAACGGCACGACAACGGCCGAAAUCCGAAUUUUCAACAAUGUCGGCAGAUACUCGGGCCAGGCCCAAAGGCCUUGCAAGCCCACAGCAAAUGCUGGGCUUGGCUUCGGACUUGGGCUUGGUUGCGGGCUGGGCCUGCUUUGCGGGCCCAAGAUGGGCUUGAAACUUGGGCUGAAAUCCAACGGGCUGAGUUGCAAUUGAAUGGACCGAAUUGUUGGCUCGUGGACUGGAAUUGCUGGGCUGAACUUGCAACAAGAUUCGCGGGCUACUGCUGAAGAUGGGCUGCUGAAAACAAUUGCGAACCGGGCUGAGAUCGAGGAGAUGGGCUUAAUGCUGGGCCGGUCGCUGAAACUGAACGUUGACUGGAGAAGCAGCUGGCGUGCGCUGGGGUUUUCGAGCUGGCGGAGAUGGAUGAAGGAAGCAGCAGCUGCUUCGGUGGCUUCACGCUUCGGUUGCUGGACAAGUGGAGAUCGGUCAAGGUAGAAGACACACGGGCUGAAGCUGCUGCAGGCGUUGGGGGCUCCGUGGGUAAAGGCUGGCACGCGGCAGCUUGGAUGACUUGCGAUGGAGGGAACAAUGAAGCAGUAGCGUGGCGUGGAGGAAACCUGGAUGGGUGGCAGCUUGAUCGAAGUGUUGGGGUCAACUUUGCUGGAGUUUUCUUUCUUUGAUUGAUCAAGGAAGCUAGGUGCUUGGACGUGUGGCAAGAAGAGAAUUCGGUGGGGUGUGGGUCUUCGAUGGAUAGCAAAGAAACGUGGAGAGGUGGACUGCUCGAUGAAGAUGGAUACAGAGAAGGAGUUGGCGUGCGCAGGAGACCAACGAAGAAAGAGAGAAUGGGAUGAGGGAGAAAAAUGGUGCAAAAAGUCAAUAAAGGCUAUCCAAAUACUUCAAU